AGGCCACAAGUCCUCAAGAAAUGAGCAGUCUCCAAGAAAUUGCUACCGGAGCUUGUCCUUUGGUUAUUCCUGGGUGACACCAUGGCGGCCAAGAGACGCUGAUCAUAUAAGCCAUUAAUAUUACCAUCAAAGCCACUUAUGUCGUAAUAGUUGUUAUAAUAAUUUAGACACGCUUCUUCAGGUCCCACCAGUGCAUGAUGAGGAUCUCCGA
RNAcentral lists this unclassified non-coding RNA (211 nucleotides) under Hevea brasiliensis (rubber tree). The record is from RNAcentral. Lineage: Eukaryota; Viridiplantae; Streptophyta; Magnoliopsida; Malpighiales; Euphorbiaceae.